Molecule: ribosomal RNA, 620 nt
Filed under: Unruhdinium penardii var. robustum
Lineage: Eukaryota; Dinophyceae; Peridiniales; Kryptoperidiniaceae
Description: LSU rRNA
Rfam family: Eukaryotic large subunit ribosomal RNA
Source: RNAcentral
GGAGGAUAAGAAACUAAACAGGAUUCCCUCAGUAAUGGCGAAUGAACAGGGAUGAGCUCAGCUUGAAAAUCGGGGCCUCUGGCCUUGAAUUGUAGUCUGGAGAGGCAUUGCCAACGGAGGCGCAGGUGUAAGCCUUUUGGAAAAUGCAUCAAUGAGGGUGAGAAUCCCGUAUGUCACCUGUAGCCCUUCGUGAACGGCAUGUCUUCUAAGAGUCGUGUUCCUCGGGAUUGGAGCGCAAAUUGGGUGGUAAAUUUCAUCUAAAGCUAAAUACAGGUUUGAGACCGAUAGCAAACAAGUACCAUGAGGGAAAGAUGAAAAGGACUUUGGAAAGAGAGUUAAAAGUGCUUGAACUUGCUGAAAGGGAAGCGCAUGGAACCAGUUCGUCUUGGCGAGAUUGUGGCGCAUAAUCGUGACGGCAUGCUGCUCCAGCGCAAGCGGAGUGGUAGGUCUUAAGCGAGCUUGCGCUGUGCUUCUUGCCUUGCAUGUCAUCGGCAUCCCAUUCGUGUGACAAUCCCAGGGACAUGGAAGCAUGGCUGCGGCCGUGUGAAUGUGCCUGGCGAACGCACUGGUGUGUUGCUUGCUGACUAAAUGGUUUCCUGCGACCCGUCUUGAAACACGGA